GACAGAUAUUUAUUAACCAUUAUUAUUUAUUCAACCUCACAGAGGUGUAAAUUAUACAUACAAAUACAUUAGAAAGGUACCCUCUUACAGAAUGUUUCACAUUUUGAUUUUGUUCUAUGAGGGUUGCAAAUAUUUCCAUACAUUCUACAAACCAAAGAUUGCUUUUGCUUUGAUUCAUUACA
Non-coding RNA from Notechis scutatus (mainland tiger snake), 182 nucleotides. Lineage: Eukaryota; Metazoa; Chordata; Lepidosauria; Squamata; Elapidae. The record is from RefSeq and is a predicted model, not a curated record.